GUUAAUAUUUUCAGAGACGUUGAGCUUCGAGCCUGGAUGGUCUGAUAUCUUAAUCUGAAAUGUGCAUUCAUGUCGUGGCUUUUGAGUUGCAGCAUUGCAGCUACCGGGCGCUGCUACAGGCGCGGUACGAGUAUGCCGUGCGCUGUUUGCUAGUUUCGAUUUUCCGACUCUAGGGGGCGCUUAGUGAUGAUGAUUCACGAAUGGCAGAAACAUUGUUGCCUCGUCGGUGUGGUGCCGUCGCUUCUGCUGUGGUUUAACCGCAGACUACCAUGUUAUGUAAUUGGUAAAAUGGAAGAAAAAAGUUAAUCGUGAAAAUGAACGCCUUGCCACAGCGUGACUCCGCGUGCAGGCGAGAACUUGUGUCGGCAUUGGUGUAGACUGUAGCCUCGCUGUGCGACCGUGGGACUGCAUUGGUAAACGAAGCAAGAACGAGGAGUGGGGAAGUGUCGGCUGCUGCUGCUGCUGCUGUGAGUGCAGGGAGUCGAGGAGCCAGCACGAGACUAGAAGGUAUGGCUGACGAUCAAUACUGCUGCCAGCGCAUGAGACUGAGGCAGUGAUGCCGGCCUCCAUUUCUGUGCGACGAACCUCAUGUGAAAAUGAAACUGUGACGCCUCCAAGGUAGUUGGGGGCUUGGUGUGGAGUGUGACAGAGGAAUACCUACAGACAGCACGCAAUGUCCCACUCACAUAAAGACGAACUCUACGUGGGGCCGUACCGUCUUGAGAAGACGCUGGGAAAAGGCCAGACAGGGCUUGUAAAACUGGGAGUUCAUUGUGUCUCAGGGAAGAGAGUUGCAAUAAAAAUUGUGAACAGAGAGAAGCUCAGUGAAUCAGUUCUCAUGAAGGUGGAACGUGAAAUUGCCAUCAUGAAGCUCAUUGAACACCCACAUGUUCUUGGAUUGUACGAUGUCUAUGAAAACAAGAAAUACCUAUAUUUAAUCCUGGAGCAUGUAUCUGGUGGAGAGCUGUUUGACUACCUCGUCAAGAAAGGACGCCUUACACCCAAAGAGGCAAGGCGAUUCUUCCGUCAGAUUAUAUCUGCGCUAGACUUUUGCCACAGUCACAAUAUAUGCCAUCGAGAUCUGAAGCCAGAGAACCUUUUACUUGAUGACAAAAACAACAUUCGUGUGGCAGACUUUGGCAUGGCAUCUUUACAAGUUGAAGGAUCUAUGUUGGAAACAAGUUGUGGGUCACCCCAUUAUGCAUGUCCAGAGGUGAUACGGGGGGAAAAGUAUGAUGGAAGGAAGGCUGAUGUUUGGAGUUGUGGUGUCAUUUUGUACGCAUUAUUAGUUGGCGCUCUACCAUUUGAUGAUGACAAUUUGCGGCAGCUUUUAGAAAAAGUAAAGAAAGGUGUAUUUCACAUUCCACAUUUUGUACCACCAGACUGCCAAAAUUUGUUGAGAGGCAUGAUAGAAGUUGAUCCAGAGAAGAGGAUGACAUUAGAGGAGGUUAUGCGCCACCCAUGGGUUAUAGCGGAUAUCCUGGGUCAGAUAGAGUUAGAGUUGCCUAUCACACAAAUAGUCCAGACAUCUGUGAUACCUAGCGUGGAAGACUUGGAUCCCGAUGUUCUGUCCACACUCAAUUCCUUACAGUGUUUCAAAGACAAAGAGAAGUUAAUCUCUGAACUUCUCAAUACCAAACACAACACAGAGAAGGUGGUGUAUUUUUUGUUAUUGGACCGCAAACUCAGGAACCCAAGUGUAGAGGAUGAGACAGAGAUAAGACACAGAUCAGAAUCAGGUGACAGAGCUGAUCCACCAAGGAAAAGAGUCGAUUCAGUACAGUUCAAUGGACAAGCAAGGCUUUCUUUGGGUAACAUCAGUGAGGGAUCACCAGUAGCUUCCAGAAGAGCUUUAGCUGUGCAGCAAGUUCGGCGGAAGGCCAGCCUGAGCAACAGUCCAAGCUCCUCACCUGUUUCCAGCCCAAAACUGUCACACCGUGGGGGCAGUAGCAGUGCCCCAUCUCAUAGCCCAUCAGCCACACCACCCAGUUCCCCAGGGCUGAUGACCAGUACACCCUGGAAGUCACGUCUCCAUACGAUCAAGAACAGCUUCCUUGGCUCUCCACGCUUCCAUCGUCGAAAGAUGCAAGGUAUACCUUAUCCCAAUGCUGCCUGCGCUGGGGAGUGCGACUGUGAUCUGGACUCUUUGGCAGGUGACUUCACUGGCUGGCACCCUUACUUUCAAGUCCCUACCACUGACGAGAUCCAUAUGACCCCAGAUUCUUCUCCAGAGAUGGCCAAGCGCUCAUGGUUUGGGGGGCUUAUGGGCAUGGAGCAGGAGCAUCAUUUUGUGAUGGUACGGGAUAAAACAUUCAACCAGGUCAAAGCUGAUCUUGUUCAUGCAUUCCUUUCUACUCCAGAUCUAAGUCACAGUGUUGUGUCCACCUCCACUUUCCGUGCUGAAUAUCGUCGUGGGGGUGGCUCUUCAAUGUUCUCCAGGAAUGUUCGCUUCCAGGUGGACAUUUCAGCUGCUCCUGGGGAGCGUGACCCAGCAUCUACAUUCUGUCUUACAUUCACUUUAGUUUCAGGGCCAUCACGACGGUUUCGGCGUGUGUGUGAACACAUCCAGACCUUGAUGGCAGCUCCUCGUGGGGAGAACAAUCGUAAGAUAAGCACUGAUAGUACAGUGUCCUACUGCUCAGAGCUGGUGCCCGCUUCCUACUGCUCUCCAGCCAAAGAAAAUGGGGAUGCAGAGAGUCAUGAAAGGGAGAAAAAGCCACCAUUGCCACCUAGAAACAGAGAUUCAUCAAAGAGCGGACCUCGCAAAGCUCUCAGUGAAAACACUCAAAGGGAUAAAGUCUAGUGAAUUGUAAAUAUGUAUAUAAAAGUGAAAACAUUCUUGCUACCAUGAACCAUAAACUCCUUUGCAAGAAUGAUUAAAGAACCUGCAUAAUUAAUGCAUGAGAAGAGAAACUGUUAAAAGCUGAUUGGAUGAACAAUUACUCGCAUCAUUUGGUAUGGAAAGAACACAGGAGCAUGAUUAUGAAAGGUUAUUCUUCCAAGUAUACAGAAAUAUUUCGUGGCCCAGCCUUAUUGAUGCAUGUAAUUGAAAAUGCCAUUAGAAGCAGAUAACCCAUAUAGCCUUUUAUGACUGAAUGGAAGGUGAAUGUUUGUAACAUCUUUGUUCAAAACUAAAUGUGCACAUAACAUCCACUUGAAAAUAGGGUUUUGUUAUCAAAUAUUUAGCUGUCAGAAUAAUCCCAUCUAGCAUCCCUCUAGUGUUAUUUAUUCAACUGUCAGACUCUUCCUGGAAACCUUUUUUUAUGCCUGUUAGUAUUUUAUUAACAAUAUUGUCAGUAGACUGCAUGCAAGUUGCUGAAGUAUGGUUAUUAUUAACAGAUCAUCUUUUUGACUGUAGUAAAGGUACAGCCAGUUACUAGAGUAGUUCCAGAGGAAUGGUAGUGGCAGAGUUUGGUAAAAUAGCUUCACCACUCAAAUUUCUGUUUUAUUCUUAUCAAAUCAGUUGUUUCUAACACAGGUAGGCUUUUCAAAAUAUUUUUCUUACAGAAGUUUACAAAUUUAAAGAAUGGCAAAGAUUUAAAAAGUGCUUAGUUUCCUUUUACUUAGCAUUGUGGGGAAAAUGUUUAAUGUAUGUGAUGUUGAAUAAUCAUUUAGUGGAUUUAAUAUUUAUGCACCUAAAAGUAUAGCUGUGUGUUUGUGUGUGUGUGAGAUCCUAUCCUUCAAUUUUAUGUCUUAUUUUUUUACCUUAUGGAACGACCUUUAGAUCAAGAGUGAAAUUUAAAAUGUAUUAGUAUUUUGUUUUGUAUCUUACUUAAAAUAGCAUGCACCAUGCAUGAUAACAUGUAAAAUAUUCUUUGAACUCAUUUUCGCUCCUGAGUAAAAGCAGUGGUGUAUUUAUGAUACCAAUCUCCAUAAAGAGUAUGCAAAUUUUCCAUUUGAUUGUCUUGUCUCUAAACUGUUUGUAAAGUUAGUACUGCUUACUUCACAGUAGGAUGCUUAAUUUUUGGUGGGGUUGUGAUUGUACUGAACAGCAGGCUUGUUGAAAGACAUUGGCUUUUUUGAAUGCCAGGCUUGAGUGAAUGGUAGUGUUUUAACUGUUACUCUAAAAUGGACAGAGCAUCUGUUCAGAAGUUAAAUUUUAUUCCUUUUCUUACAAAAAGGUGUCAAAGAGUGCACAUGAGUUUUCCAUUAAAGUAAUGAUGUGAGCAUUAUAUUCAGUCAGAAAGGGGACUGCGAUUUCUUACAUUACAAAAGCCCUUUGUCUUUUAAUAUCAGGUGGUAUGUACAGUUGACAGUAAUGAUUUCCAUUAUAAAAAAACGGCUCUCACAUCAUGACAGAACCAUUUUGCUGAUAGAUGUUGUUUUACAGUUACUGUUUAGCUUUCCCUGCGUAAGAUAUGUCUAAAUAGGGCUUUUACCCCGACUCCCAUCUGGCACAAUGAGAGGAUAAGUAGACCAUCUUACCAUGUCAUUGCAGGAGAAGUAAGUGAUCUCAAAAUAGAACAUUUUGUUAUGGACUUUAUACUUUAAGAGGAACAUAAAAGUCUGGAUUGUAUUUGAAAUUCUGGUAGUCCCCUACUUUUUCACAAAUCCUAAUUUAUUUAAAUAACGGUUACAUUUUAUUUAUUUUUUACUUGAAAAGGGAAAGCGCUUAAGGUUUAAGUGGGCAAAGGUGUGUCCCACUUGUUAAGUGAGUUUGUUCGUGUAUUGACAAAUCAUCAUCCUAACACAAAAACUUCUUGUAAACUGGAUACACUUGUUCUACUUCCUUCUGUACCUUGAAACACAUCCCGUUCUGUGAUCUUAACUGAGGAGAAACAUUUAACAUAUACACCUUUUUGUCCAAUAUUCAGAGUGUAACACCCCUCCAAUGUACGGCAAGUUGUAAGUAGAGCAAGCUAGCUUGUUCACGCAGAAUUAUCUGCCCUCCUACCAAAAACAAUUGUACAAAGGUGUGCUGUGUCUUAAUGCUUGAAGCAGUCAUUGAUAUAAUAGGAUUUAGUGCCAAGCAGCAGUUCCAUUGUUCAUUCUUCCUCUUCCCAUUACAGUGAGACACUAGAUGCACUCAUAGGAUUUCAAAGUACACUUGAUCAGAGAAGAAGUUUGUAGUUGUAUGUAAUUAUAAUACAGUUGUAUCGUUAACUGAACUGCAGCAUACUUUUGUGGGCAGCAAGGUGUAAAACCUAGAACAAACUGCAGCUGUACAGUUUGAUGAUACCCCAAAACGGAGUGGCAUUUUGAUUUUUCAAGUAGUAUCAUAAAUUAACUGCCUUUAUACAAAUUCAUUUUGUGAAACUGUGAUUCAGAAUGUCUAUUAUGGGUUAUACUGAUUGUAAUUUGGUUAAGUCCAGGUUAUAUAAAAAGCAGACACAAAAUAACAUUUUAUCUUUUAAGAUUUUUGAAAAAAAAAUACUUUUUAGCCUUUUAUUUCAUGGUUUUUUUCAUAUGAAAAUUGUGGGUAUUUUUUUAUUCUCCAUGUUCAUUUGACAAAAGUCGUUAGAAAAAAAAAGCAGCUGUAAUGAAUACACUGUUUUGGUAUCUUCAGCACACUUGUACUAUCAUUCCUAAUUUAGAGUGCACACAGUGUCAAGAGUUACAUUAAGGACACAAAAAAGCAUGUAUAAACAAAACUAAAGAAAAGAAAAUUCCUCAACCAAGGGAUAAGACCACAUUUAUGCAUUUAGAACCCGUUUUGAAGUGCAACUAGGUCUGCUAUCCAUCAGUAAAAGCUGUUGCAUAAGUUAUUCUUUUAUGUUUAAAAUUAGGGAAGCUUGAAUUUGGGUGGGGAGAAGAGUGUAUUUAACAGUUUUUCCACCUGCAUGGCACCAAAUUCUGCGUGUUAUUAUAUGUUAUGCUUGAUAUUAUUUUGCAGCUUGUAAUUGGUGUUCUGUAGACCUUCCAUUAGUGUGCUACUUAUAGACUGUUUCUGUGGGUGUGUGCAGUGUUGCAGAAGUUAUUUAUUUAUGCAGUGCUUUUUUUUUUUUUUUUUUUGUAAAUUGCCAUAUUCCAGAAGAGCAUGUUUCAGGGACAGUAAGCAGCAUCUUUCCACAUUACAUUUAUUGCUCUUAUGGGACCAGAAGACAGAUCAUCAGAGGAAUAAUGAAAUCAUUUGUGUUUGUUUCUCAUCUUUUGUGUUACAUGGUACAGAAUUUGAGCAUGUUAAAAACAAUGGCACUGAAUGGGUGACCAUCAUCCACAAUUUUGAUAUUACAUACAAGGUGUACUGUCUAGAAGGCAACACUAAGCUCACUAAACAGUGUGCAGCUGCUUUUAAACCUUAUCUCUGGAACCAGCAUGUGAUUGUGACAACCAGCAGCUGGAAUCACUUAGUUUUAGGCCCAUGAUGAAACAACAAAAAUGAAAAUAGAAAAGAACCAAAACCUUUUCUUGUCAUUUGUCAUUAGGAUUGUUUGUAUUCCUGAGUUUGCAACUGCAUUGCCCAGUCAGACAUGGAAGUAGAAGUGAGUUGACCUAGUGCUAGUUGUGAAUAAACUUUGUGACAUGGAAACUUUGGAAAAGACAUGUUGUCAUGCACUGUCAUCCUAUGCUCAGUUCAAGGGUUACUUUAGUGAAAGUUCAUCAGAAAGUAAUCGAAUGUUACUUCCAAACAUUUUCUGAGAACAUGUACCAUUUAAUUAAAAAAAAAAAAAUUCUUGAACAAUCUAGCUGAGCUUUAAAGAUACCCCAUAGCUAUCUACUUAUGGUUGGAUAUGGAGAGGCAACAGCAUUCUUAGGAUCUGGGUCCUACAGAACAAAAAAGUUUUACUCAUUUUUGAGGUCAGAUGAUAUCACAGAGACUUUGUUUUGACUGCUAGUCCAUAGCUUCACACACACACAAUGGGUGUUGCCUGCUGUUUGCUGUGAAAAUGGGGCAAUAGCUAUGUAAUACAAAAGAAAGACAUGCCAAAUUCAUGAGUACAAAUUGUUUGAUUGCAAAUUGUUUAAGGAGUAGACUGUUUUUACACUCAAAAGCUUUAUUUCUCACUCCUUAUUGAUUCUAAUGUUGGACAUGUAACUAAUGAUAAACAUGAGGGGGCUUAAUGCCAUGCAUUAGUGAAAUAUCAGAGGUAUUAACAGAAUGGUUAUGAUCACAGGCAAGCUUAUUGGUAGAAUAAAUGUACUAUUGAAACUAGUGUUGCAAGUAUACAUGUCUGUGCCAGAAUCAUGUAACUAUAUUUAACAUGGGCAUUUGGCUGGACAGAUUUUACCCUGGAUUGUCUGUUUUGCACUGCUCAGUAUGAAUAAUGUAUGAAGACAAAAUCUGUUUGCAUCUGUAGGAAUGUUCUGAAUUGGAAAGAAAAGGUAAUUUGUCUUUUUUCAUGUCCUAAAAUGUAACAUGUCAGCAUACAGUCAUCUUAUUUGGAAAAUUAGUUGCAAUUAAAAGUGAUUGACCUGAA
This 7358-nucleotide unclassified non-coding RNA is filed under the name Pomacea canaliculata. Its description in RNAcentral is "serine/threonine-protein kinase BRSK2-like, transcript variant X5". The record is from RNAcentral. Lineage: Eukaryota; Metazoa; Mollusca; Gastropoda; Architaenioglossa; Ampullariidae.